CUGAGUCCGUGAUGAUGUAAAGUUAUCCCUGUCUGAAGGCAAAGAAAGGCCUGUGUGGAAUGUGGAUGUCUGAAACUCAG
Molecule: small nucleolar RNA, 80 nt
Organism: Prionailurus viverrinus (fishing cat)
Lineage: Eukaryota; Metazoa; Chordata; Mammalia; Carnivora; Felidae
Product: small nucleolar RNA R38
Exons: 1
Source: RefSeq, a predicted model, not a curated record